GUGCUUGCUUCAUUAAUAUAUAUACUAAAAUUGGAACAGUACAGAGAUCAACAUGGUCCAUGUGCAACGGUGGUUCACACAUUUGUGAAUCAUUCCGUAUUUUU
Small nuclear RNA from Callithrix jacchus (white-tufted-ear marmoset), 104 nucleotides. The record is from Ensembl. NCBI's taxonomy places the organism in Eukaryota, Metazoa, Chordata, Mammalia, Primates, Cebidae.